CCUACGGGAGGCAGCAGUGGGGGAUAUUGCACAAUGGGGGAAACCCUGAUGCAGCGACGCCGCGUGUGGGAAGACGGUCCUCUGGAUUGUAAACCACUGUCCCCAGGGACGAAGAUGACGGUACCUGGGGAGGAAGCUCCGGCUAACUACGUGCCAGCAGCCGCGGUAAUACGUAGGGAGCGAGCGUUGUCCGGAAUUACUGGGUGUAAAGGGAGCGUAGGCGGGACUGCAAGUUGGGUGUCAAAUCUACCGGCUCAACCGGUAGCCGCACUCAAAACUGCAGUUCUUGAGUGAAGUAGAGGCAGGCGGAAUUCCUAGUGUAGCGGUGAAAUGCGUAGAUAUUAGGAGGAACACCAGUGGCGAAGGCGGCCUGCUGGGCUUUUACUGACGCUGAGGUGCGAAAGCGUGGGUAGCAAACAGGAUUAGAUACCCCAGUAGUC
Molecule: ribosomal RNA, 440 nt
Filed under: uncultured bacterium
Lineage: Bacteria
Description: partial 16S ribosomal RNA
Rfam family: Bacterial small subunit ribosomal RNA
Source: RNAcentral